This 168-nucleotide unclassified non-coding RNA is filed under the name uncultured fungus. RNAcentral's name for it is "sequence contains ITS1". Lineage: Eukaryota; Fungi. The record is from RNAcentral.
GUGUAUGUUUUCUUUGUUUUCAGUCAUAUUCGCGUGUAUGUAAAAGAUAAUGACGCCGUCCGAAAGCCCCCCUCGCGGGGCAACCUCCAAGAACGACCAGCCAAAACCACAGGUGAGAAUAAAGGCGGUCAUGCAGUGAUGAUCCUUCCGCAGGUUCACCUACGGAAA